AGCGCAUACGGUGGAUGCCUAGGCGAUAAGAGGCGAUGAAGGACGUGGUAGUCUGCGAUAAGCCCUGGUAAGCUGACAAACUAGCUUUGACCCAGGGAUUUCCGAAUGGGGAAACCCAACCGCUUCGGCGGUUAUCGCGCGCUGAAUACAUAGGCGCGUGAAGCGAACCCGGGGAACUGAAACAUCUAAGUACCCGGAGGAAAAGAAAUCAACCGAGAUUCCCUUAGUAGCGGCGAGCGAACGGGGAGUAGCCCUUAAGCUUUGCAAUCUCUAGUGGAACGCUCUGGAAAGUGCGGCCAUAGAAGGUGACAGUCCCGUACACGAAAGGGCUUGCAAAGUGAAAUCGAGUAGGGCGGAGCACGAGAAACUCUGUCUGAACAUGGGGGGACCAUCCUCCAAGGCUAAAUACUACUUAUCGACCGAUAGUGAACCAGUACCGUGAGGGAAAGGCGAAAAGAACCCCUGUUAGGGGAGUGAAAUAGAACCUGAAACCGUAUGUGUACAAGCAGUGGAAGCCCUAUCCGGCGGCUUGCCGGUGGAUAAGGCGACUGCGUACCUUUUGUAUAAUGGGUCAGCGACUUAAUUUUAGUAGCAAGGUUAACCGUAUAGGGGAGCCGUAGCGAAAGCGAGUCUUAACAGGGCGUGUCUUUAAUUAGACGAUAGUUGCUAGGAUUAGACCCGAAACCGGGCGAUCUAGCCAUGGCCAGGUUGAAGGUCGGGUAAUACCGACUGGAGGACCGAACCAACUUAUGUUGAAAAAUGAGUGGAUGAGCUGUGGUUAGGAGUGAAAGGCUAAACAAGCCCGGAGAUAGCUGGUUCUCCCCGAAAACUAUUUAGGUAGUGCCUCGUGUUUCACUUCUGGGGGUAGAGCACUGUCAUGGCUAGGGCCGCAUCUAGCGGUACCAACCCAUUGCAAACUCCGAAUACCAGAAAGUGCUAUCACGGGAGACAGACGGCGGGAGAUAAGUUUCGUCGUCGAGAGGGAAACAGCCCAGAUCGCCAGUUAAGGUCCCUAAACACAUCUCAGUGGGAAACGAUGUGGAAAGGCUCAGACAGCCAGGAGGUUGGCUUAGAAGCAGCCAUCCUUUAAAGAUAGCGUAAUAGCUCACUGGUCGAGUCGGUCCGCGCGGAAGAUAUACCGGGGCUCAAGGUGUGUACCGAAACUGCGAAUGCUACCCACAUCUUCGGAUUGUGGUUAGCAUGGUAGGGGAGCGUUCUGUAAGUCCGCGAAGGUAAACCGUGAGGUUUGCUGGAGAUAUCAGAAGUGAGAAUGCUGACAUGAGUAGCGAUAAUGCGGGUGAAAAGCCCGCACGCCGAAAGCCCAAGGUUUCCUGCGCAACGUUAAUCGGCGCAGGGUGAGUCGACCCCUAAGGCGAGGCCGAAAGGCGUAGUCGAUGGGAAUCAGGUUAAUAUUCCUGAACCGAAUGUAACUGCGAUGGGGUGACGGAGAAGGCUAGGUUGGCCGGGUGUUGGAUAUCCCGGUUUAAGCGCGUAGGUUGAGGACUUAGGUAAAUCCGGGUUCUCAUUAAGACUGAGACGUGAUGACGAGCGCUUUGCAAAAAGCGCGAAGUAAUUGAUGCCAUGCUUCCAAGAAAACCCUCUAAGCUUCAGGUUAUAUUCGAUCGUACCCCAAACCGACACAGGUGGGCGGGGUGAGAAUCCUAAGGCGCUUGAGAGAACUCUGGUGAAGGAACUCGGCAAAAUAACACCGUAACUUCGGGAGAAGGUGUGCCUCCGGUAGGUGAUGAGCUUUGCGCUCUGAGCUGAGGGAGGUUGCAAUAAAGAGGUGGCUGCGACUGUUUACUAAAAACAUAGCACUCUGCAAACUCGCAAGAGGAAGUAUAGGGUGUGACGCCUGCCCGGUGCCGGAAGGUUAAAUGAUGGGGUUAGCUGCUUGCAGCGAAGCUCUUGAUUGAAGCCCCGGUGAACGGCGGCCGUAACUAUAACGGUCCUAAGGUAGCGAAAUUCCUUGUCGGGUAAGUUCCGACCUGCACGAAUGGCGUAACGAUGGCCACACUGUCUCCACCAGAGACUCAGCGAAAUUGAACUUGCUGUGAAGAUGCAGUGUACCCGCGGUUAGACGGAAAGACCCCGUGAACCUUUACUACAGCUUCACACUGGACUCUGAACAAGUAUGUGCAGGAUAGGUGGAAGGCUUUGAAGUGGAGACGCCAGUCUCCAUGGAGCCACCCUUGAGAUACCACCCUUGCUUGUUUGGGACCCUAACCGAGGCCCGUUAUCCGGGUCCGGGACCAUGUGUGGUGGGUAGUUUGACUGGGGCGGUCUCCUCCCAAAGAGUAACGGAGGAGCGCGAAGGUACUCUAAGCACGGUCGGAAAUCGUGCGGUUAGUGUAAAGGCACAAGAGUGCUUGACUGCGAGACAGACACGUCGAGCAGGAACGAAAGUUGGUCUUAGUGAUCCGGUGGUUCUGUAUGGAAGGGCCAUCGCUCAACGGAUAAAAGGUACUCCGGGGAUAACAGGCUGAUACCGCCCAAGAGUUCACAUCGACGGCGGUGUUUGGCACCUCGAUGUCGGCUCAUCACAUCCUGGGGCUGUAGCCGGUCCCAAGGGUAUGGCUGUUCGCCAUUUAAAGUGGUACGCGAGCUGGGUUUAGAACGUCGUGAGACAGUUUGGUCCCUAUCUGCCGUGGGCGCCGGAGACUUGAGAGGAGCUGCUCCUAGUACGAGAGGACCGGAGUGGACGUACCUCUGGUGUUCCGGUUGUCACGCCAGUGGCAUUGCCGGGUAGCUAUGUACGGACGGGAUAACCGCUGAAAGCAUCUAAGCGGGAAGCCCCCCUCAAGAUUAUGUCUCCCUCUGGCCACUUUCGAGUGGU
This 2836-nucleotide ribosomal RNA is filed under the name Candidatus Spongiihabitans thiooxidans. RNAcentral's name for it is "bacterial LSU rRNA". It matches the Rfam family "Bacterial large subunit ribosomal RNA". Lineage: Bacteria; Pseudomonadati; Pseudomonadota; Gammaproteobacteria; Arenicellales; Candidatus Poriferihabitaceae. The record is from RNAcentral.